ACAGAAGCGCUCUGAGUCAGCAUCAGAUGCUUUGCCUCGCCUCUCGCUGUGUAUCUGUAUGCCUGUGUGCGCGCGCGUGCUCGCUCGGGCAUCCGUGUCUAGCCGAGGGGAGGGGGUGGCGUGUGAGUGCGUGGAGGGUAAAAGCCAGUCAGUCAGUGAGAAGCAAAGAUCAACCACCUCAGAAGAGCCAGAUUCCACUUCUGUGGCCAGGACUUUUACAUUAUGGCUGGUCCGAUUGUUUUACCCUGCGUUCUAUGCUACUAAACCUUGGAUCAUUCCUAAAGUACAAAUUCUGUUCUCGAACCACAAACAAGGCUAAAAGAUCGGAGGAAAUUCAGUGAAUAUACAGGAUUGGGGUUGUGUAUUUUUAAAAGUAUUGAGCUUUAUAAUGUAAUUAUUCAAGAAAUAGAAUCAUGGUUUUUUUAUGAUGUUGCCAGCAUUUUAAAUUACAUGUUUAUUAAGUGGCAUUGCUCAAAUAACUACAGAGUAUGCGUGGAAAUAUUUGCUGUCUGAAUAGUUUGGAGAUUCAAAGAGAAAAAUCAAGCUUCAGAGGUAUUAAAUUAUGACAUGCAGAAAAGUUUUUGUUUUGUUCUUAACUGCAACGGUAUAUAUUUAAAUCCGAUUUAAAGUAUUAUAUGUCCUGGGCCCACCUUACCAGUUGUGCUGUAUAGCAGUGUAAUGGGAAGCAAAAUUUCAAUUAGGGUCCCAUUAACUGGCAUAUAAUCCUUCUUUAAUGUAAUAGAGGCUAUGGUGUUGCUGUACAAAUCUGCUAGAAGCAGAUUUUAACCCAUGUUUAGUCUCUUUCUUUGGAUCUAAUGGAAUGACUCUUAACUGUUCAUUGUCUGCAUUGUUUCUCAUAUUCUUCAUUAUUUUAAGGUCUGGAAUUAGUCUAUAAAUGGUCGUCGUGAUUACUCAGCUCAUCCUAACUUUUAUAUAUCAUAUAUAUUUCUACUGAAGUAUUUUAAAUAGUAUUUAGAGGUAAAAGUCUAAGUGAACCCAACUGUAAUUUCUAAGCUAUCCUUAUUUCUGGAAGAAGAAUUCUACCGCAUCAAACCAGACUUUUCCUAGUCCCUGAGACCCUAACUUGUGAGGUAUUUUAGUAACAUCACAAGUCAGGCUCUUGGGACCUAGGCGGAGGGGAACCAGCAGCUUUGGACCUUAUUGAUUGUCUGCAGUUACCACCAGAACAAAAGAACAUACAUAGAUUCUGCCUAGGAGAAAAGAACAAUGCUUUUCUUUAUCAUCAGCAACGUUUUCACCAUGACCCAUCCCCAAAAAUACUAUUGUCAGAAACUGUACUCUAAAGUGAUUACACAGUUGCACUGAAAUAGCGUUUGUAUUAUAACGAUCAUACAAAAGCAAUAUAAGAAACCUGUGUAAGAAGCAAAAUUAAAAUAUAAGUGUUUUAAAAUGCUUCUUUUGGUGCAUUUUAAGGUGGCUAGUAUAAGAGGAUAUCUCUUCAGUUAAUGAAGAGAGGGGAUUAUAUUUAUAACUUUUCAUAUGCAUUGAAAUAUAUACAUUAGCUACUUAAAUAAAUCCUGUAUGCCUCCAUAUAACUAUGGCUCAGACUAUGUCAUAUACAGCUAUAAGCAUGCUUGAGGCCUAGAAAUAACAUGAUUUACAAUCUUCUUUAUUGACCCUAUUAGAUUUUACUACCGAUUUAAGAAGAAUGCUGUUUUAUACUUUGUAUUUAUUGCCAGGGCUUUUCUGAGUCUUCUAUCCAACCAACAUACUUUAUAUGUCUUAACAAUUCUAACAAUUAUUUUGUUACGAGAGUCCAAGAGUGAAAGUUUCACCAAUAAUCUGGGAAAAUAUGUCUUUUUAAAAUUUUUUACAGUUUACUGUGUACAUAUCAUGGGCCUACGUGAGAUAAAACAGUAAACGCCACCUAUGAAGUCAAACUGCUUUGACUAGCAACUGCAUAUGAACUGCAUAGUUUUAGUUUUAUAAGAAUUUUAGCUUUAUCGGAGGUAACUAUUCCAACCAUAAGUAAUAUGUCAUAUUUGAAAGUUUAAUAGCCAUUGCCACAUCAGAUAUGUCUUUCUUGGAGAUAGAAUCAGUAUGCUAAAUCUAUUUAAAAAUUUUACAAUAAUGUUACAAAUAUCAAGAUUCAAAAUGGAGAUGACAGACUUUCCUUAAUAGAAGCAACAAAGUGGCUUCAUUCUUUUAACUAUUGCCUUAGAUGGGUGCCAUAAAUUAUGUGUCUUCUGCAUUGUUAAAAUAAAUUUAUGAAUGUAUUUUAGAAUACUGUACGGAGUCUUUGUUCAUCUUUUUAAAAAUUUCUUAUAAUACCUACUUGAAAUAUUACAGAAUACAAAUCAUCUAUUAGUCAUAGUUAUUAAAAAUUACUAUAACAAUAUCAUAAACAUACACAUCUAUAUAAAGCAUGCAGAAUAUGUUUAAGCAUGUAUGCACACUGUACCUAUUCAGAUUCUUUAUUUAUAUCAUCUACUUCAUUUAUCUAGAAGUUCUGAAAUUUUAGGUGUGUGUAUGUAUAUGUAUAAAUAUAAGUUUUAAAGCUCCAAAUGAAAGGAGGUAAUAUAAACAGUAAAGAGCUUUGGUAGUAUUUAUCUUUUAUUUCUUUUGACCUCAUUCUCAUUGGAAUUGAGUAUUUUUUAAAACCAUAAGUUUCUUAAUACAAAGAAAUCUAUGUAUGUGUGUCUACAUGUACACAGAAGCUUGAUUACAUUUAAUAGCAAUGUUCACACAAUGGAUCUGAAAGUACUUCUUGUAAAAAAGAAUAUCACAUACAAGUAUGUGUUUACUAACAUCUGUUUUAACAUGAUCAUAAAUAAUAUCUGUGAAAGGUUCCAUCAAGUUAGUUCCAAAACAAUGUAAGGGGUAGAUGUUUAUUGGCUAUAGUGAUAUCAGAUAUAGGUUAUUCAAACGUGAAAAUUUUUUAAUGUUAUCAUAUUCAUGAACCACACUAUAUAUUAACUUCUGUCUCAUAAAAGAAAUAUACCAAAACUGAAUUGA
Molecule: long non-coding RNA, 2976 nt
Organism: Homo sapiens (human)
Lineage: Eukaryota; Metazoa; Chordata; Mammalia; Primates; Hominidae
Gene: MIR99AHG
Product: mir-99a-let-7c cluster host gene
Source: Ensembl